RNAcentral lists this ribosomal RNA (460 nucleotides) under uncultured bacterium. RNAcentral describes it as "partial 16S ribosomal RNA". It matches the Rfam family "Bacterial small subunit ribosomal RNA", at positions 338 to 795 of the family's 1533-position model. The record is from RNAcentral.
CCUACGGGUGGCAGCAGUGAGGAAUAUUGGUCAAUGGACGCGAGUCUGAACCAGCCAUGCAGCGUGAAGGAAGACUGCCCUAUGGGUUGUAAACUUCUUUUGUACGGGGGUAAACGCAGGUACGUGUAUCUGUCUGAAAGUAUCUUACGAAUAAGGAUCGGCUAACUCCGUGCCAGCAGCCGCGGUAAUACGGAGGAUUCAAGCGUUAUCCGGAUUUAUUGGGUUUAAAGGGGGCGUAGGCGGUCGGAUAAGUUAGAGGUGAAAUUCCGAGGCUCAACCUCGGAAUUGCAUUUGAUACUGGCAGGCUAGAGAGUAGUUGCGGUAGGCGGAAUGUAUGGUGUAGCGGUGAAAUGCUUAGAGAUCACACAGAACACCGAUUGCGAAGGCAGCUUACCAAGCUACUUCUGACGUUGAGGCACGAAAGCGUGGGGAGCAAACAGGAUUAGAUACCCUAGUAGUC